Molecule: small RNA, 17 nt
Filed under: Arabidopsis thaliana (thale cress)
Lineage: Eukaryota; Viridiplantae; Streptophyta; Magnoliopsida; Brassicales; Brassicaceae
Description: ATSL080450
Source: RNAcentral
AAAAACUCUUUAAAAAA